This is a non-coding RNA of Cricetulus griseus (Chinese hamster), 330 nucleotides long. The record is from the annotation of a RefSeq genome assembly. Lineage: Eukaryota; Metazoa; Chordata; Mammalia; Rodentia; Cricetidae.
AUGAUGGCCCCCACUCAGCUCCUGGUGUUGCUGUUGCUCUGGUUUGUAGUUGCUAGAUGUGACAUCCAGAUGACCCAGUCUCCAUCCCCCCUGUCUGCAUCUAUGGGAGAAACUGUCACCAUCACAUGCCUGGCAAGCCAGAAAAUUUAUGGGAAUUUAGCAUGGUAUCAGCAGAAACAAGAGGGAAGUCCUAAUCUUCUGAUCUAUGAUGCAGCCAGCUUGGCAGAUGGGGUCCCAUCAAGGUUCAGUGGCAGUGGAUCUUGCACAAAGUUUUCUCUCAAGAUCAGCAGCCUGCAGCCUGAAGAUGCUGCAAUUUAUUACUGUCAAUAA